AUGCACGCUGGCGGCGUGCCUCAUACAUGCAAGUCGCGCGAACGGACGAGAAGCUUGCUUCUCUGAUGUUAGCGGCGGACGGGUGAGUAACACGUGGAUAACCUACCUAUAAGACUGGGAUAACUUCGGGAAACCGGAGCUAAUACCGGAUGAUAUUUUGAACCGCAUGGUUCAAAAGUGAAAGACGGUCUUGCUGUCACUUAUAGAUGGAUCCGCGCUGCAUUAGCUAGUUGGUAAGGUAACGGCUUACCAAGGCAACGAUGCAUAGCCGACCUGAGAGGGUGAUCGGCCACACUGGAACUGAGACACGGUCCAGACUCCUACGGGAGGCAGCAGUAGGGAAUCUUCCGCAAUGGGCGAAAGCCUGACGGAGCAACGCCGCGUGAGUGAUGAAGGUCUUCGGAUCGUAAAACUCUGUUAUUAGGGAAGAACAAAUGUGUAAGUAACUAUGCACGUCUUGACGGUACCUAAUCAGAAAGCCACGGCUAACUACGUG
This 496-nucleotide ribosomal RNA is filed under the name uncultured bacterium. RNAcentral's name for it is "partial 16S ribosomal RNA". It matches the Rfam family "Bacterial small subunit ribosomal RNA", at positions 29 to 507 of the family's 1533-position model. The record is from RNAcentral.